This 380-nucleotide ribosomal RNA is filed under the name uncultured eukaryote. RNAcentral describes it as "partial 18S ribosomal RNA". It matches the Rfam family "Eukaryotic small subunit ribosomal RNA", at positions 592 to 976 of the family's 1831-position model. The record is from RNAcentral.
CAAUAGCGUAUAUUAAAGUUGUUGCAGUUAAAAAGCUCGUAGUUGGAUUUGUGGCGUACGGUGUGUUCCGGGCACUUGUUGUCUGAGUAACCUGCUGUUGCCAUCCUUGGGUGGAACCUGUGUGGCAUUAGGUUGUCGUGCAGGGGAUGCCCAUCAUUUACUGUGAAAAAAUUAGAGUGUUCAAAGCAGGCUUAUGCCGUUGAAUAUAUUAGCAUGGAAUAAUGAGAUAGGACUUUUUUGCUAUUAUGUUGGUUUGCGCAAAGAGGUAAUGAUUAAUAGGGACAGUUGGGGGUAUUCGUAUUCCAUUGUCAGAGGUGAAAUUCUUGGAUUUUUGGAAGACGAACUACUGCGAAAGCAUUUACCAAGGAUGUUUUCAUUAA